AAGCCGGAAUCGCUAGUAAUCGUGGAUCAGCAUGCCACGGUGAAUACGUUCCCGGGCCUUGUACACACCGCCCGUCACACCACGAGAGUUUGUAACACCCGAAGUCGGUAGGGUAACCUUUAUGGAGCCAGCCGCCGAAGGUGGGACAGAUAAUUGGGGUGAAGUCGUAACAAGGUAGCCGUAUCGGAAGGUGCGGCUGGAUCACCUCCUUU
This 212-nucleotide ribosomal RNA is filed under the name Listeria monocytogenes. RNAcentral describes it as "partial 16S ribosomal RNA". It matches the Rfam family "Bacterial small subunit ribosomal RNA", at positions 1323 to 1533 of the family's 1533-position model. The record is from RNAcentral. RNAcentral also lists the same sequence under 1 other name. Lineage: Bacteria; Bacillati; Bacillota; Bacilli; Caryophanales; Listeriaceae.